GACGGAGGGAGCUAGCGUUGUUCGGAAUGACUGGGCGUAAAGGGCGCGUAGGCGGUUUUUUAAGUGAGGCGUGAAAGCCCUGGGCUUAACCUGGGAAUGGCAUUUGGGACUGCAAGGCUGGAGUGCGGCAGAGGAGACUGGAAUUCCUGGUGUAGCAGUGAAAUGCGUAGAUAUCAGGAGGAAUACCGAUGGCGAAGGCAGGUCUCUGGGCUGACACUGACGCUCAUGCACGAAAGCGUGGGGAGCAAACAGG
RNAcentral lists this ribosomal RNA (253 nucleotides) under uncultured bacterium. Its description in RNAcentral is "partial 16S ribosomal RNA". It matches the Rfam family "Bacterial small subunit ribosomal RNA", at positions 524 to 776 of the family's 1533-position model. The record is from RNAcentral.